Molecule: long non-coding RNA, 428 nt
Organism: Folsomia candida
Lineage: Eukaryota; Metazoa; Arthropoda; Collembola; Entomobryomorpha; Isotomidae
Exons: 2
Source: RefSeq, a predicted model, not a curated record
UAAUUUUAUCAUUUACUAUAAUCAUAAUAAACGCCAAUAAUAAUUAAUUAUUUCAAAUUCAUCAAAUCCUUGACAAUGUCUGCCAAAAUUGCGAUCUUUUUCACCCUCCUGAUUUUGGGAGCCUUAAUUUAUCACUCUGCAGCUGCCGUGGUUAAGCCGGAGGAUGGCCCCUUCGACUGUCCCGAUGGGCAGGGAUGGGCUUGCUGGGGAAAUCGAGGGACUCGAAAUGAUAAUUGCAUUGCUCGUGGAUGGAAUAGCUGGUGGGAGCAGUCUGGUGGAUUUCUUGGUCUUGAUACGUGUUAUUGCUGCAAGGAGUGAGAAAUUGGGUGCAAAAAUUAAAAUUUACAUGUAUUUAAUUUUAAGUUAUGUAAAAUAAUUAUGUAGUGUGUGGAAUAAGGAAAAUUAAAUGAAUUUUAACAAACAGAAAA